Molecule: ribosomal RNA, 460 nt
Filed under: uncultured bacterium
Lineage: Bacteria
Description: partial 16S ribosomal RNA
Rfam family: Bacterial small subunit ribosomal RNA
Source: RNAcentral
CCUACGGGGGGCAGCAGUGAGGAAUAUUGGUCAAUGGCCGGAAGGCUGAACCAGCCAUGCCGCGUGAAGGUCAGUGCCCUAUGGGCGUUAAACUUCUUUUGUGCGGGAGCAAUAAUGGUCACGUGUGGCCAGACGAGAGUACCGUACGAAUAAGCAUCGGCUAACUCCGUGCCAGCAGCCGCGGUAAGACGGGGGAUGCAAACGUUAUCCGGAGUUAAUGGGUUUAAAGGGUGCGUAGGCGGUGAGGUAAGUCAGCGGGGAAAUGCCCCCGCUCAACGGGGUGAAGUGCCAUUGAGACUGCCUGGCUUGAAUGCUGAUGCCGUGGGAGGAAUGUGUGGUGUAGCGGUGAAAUGCAUAGAUAUCACACAGAACACCGAUUGCGAAGGCAUCUCACGAAUCCGCGAUUGACGCUGAUGCACGAAAGCGUGGGUAUCAAACAGGAUUAGAUACCCGAGUAGUC